This 6652-nucleotide unclassified non-coding RNA is filed under the name Portunus trituberculatus (swimming crab). RNAcentral's name for it is "calcium-transporting ATPase sarcoplasmic/endoplasmic reticulum type-like, transcript variant X5". Lineage: Eukaryota; Metazoa; Arthropoda; Malacostraca; Decapoda; Portunidae. The record is from RNAcentral.
GUGGUGGUGGUGGUGGUGAUGGAACAGUGCCAAGGAGAAGGUUUUAAAAGGGGUAGAUGUGAGUUGAGCCUAGCACUGGCUGGCGGCAUAUUGGCCCCACCUCUACGGCUGUUCUCUUCCCUGGGAGCCUAUAAACUGUGGCCCAGGUGACGCUGAGAGCCGCAGAGUAGUGAGAGGGCUUAGGACAGGCACUUCCCAUCAGCCCACCGCCCCACCAGCUCAGCCACCAUGGAGGACGGCCACUUCUAUCCCUUCGAAGAGGUUUGCAGCCGAUUCGGGGUCAAGACCGAGACAGGCCUUACCGACAGCCAAGUGAAGGACCACCAGGCAAAAUAUGGACCCAACGAACUCCCAGCCGAGGAAGGAAAGUCACUCCUUACCCUGAUUCUUGAGCAAUUUGACGAUCUCCUAGUAAAGAUUCUGCUGCUGGCCGCCAUCAUCUCUUUUGUGUUGGCGUGCUUUGAGGAAGGAGAGGAAACAGUUACGGCCUUCGUGGAACCUUUCGUUAUCCUGCUUAUCCUUAUCGCGAAUGCCAUCGUAGGAGUAUGGCAGGAAAGGAACGCGGAGUCUGCCAUCGAGGCCCUGAAGGAAUAUGAGCCAGAGAUGGGCAAAGUGAUCCGCGCCAACAAGGCCGGUGUGCAGAAGAUUAGAGCCAGGGAGAUUGUGCCCGGCGAUGUUGUGGAAGUGUCUGUGGGUGACAAGAUCCCAGCUGACCUUCGCCUCAUCAAGAUUUACUCCACCACUCUCCGCAUUGACCAGUCCAUCCUUACCGGCGAGUCUGUGUCUGUUAUCAAGCACACUGACGCUAUUCCAGACCCCAAGGCUGUCAACCAGGAUAAGAAGAACAUCCUUUUCUCUGGUACCAAUGUUGCUGCUGGCAAGGCCCGUGGUGUUGUCGUCGGCACUGGCCUCAACACUGCCAUUGGUAAGAUCCGUACCCAGAUGGCUGAGACUGAGGAGAUCAAGACACCACUGCAGCAGAAGCUGGAUGAGUUUGGUGAGCAGCUGUCCAAGGUGAUCUCCAUCAUCUGUGUGGCUGUGUGGGCCAUCAACAUCGGCCACUUCAACGACCCGGCCCACGGCGGCUCCUGGAUCAAGGGUGCCAUCUACUACUUCAAGAUUGCUGUGGCCCUGGCUGUGGCUGCCAUCCCUGAGGGUCUGCCAGCUGUCAUCACCACCUGCCUGGCCCUGGGCACACGCCGCAUGGCCAAGAAGAACGCCAUCGUGAGGUCCCUGCCCUCCGUGGAGACCCUGGGCUGCACCUCCGUCAUCUGCUCCGACAAGACCGGCACCCUCACCACCAACAUGAUGUCCGUGUCCCGCAUGUUCAUCAUGGACAAGGUGGAGGGCAACGACUGCAGCCUGCUGGAGUUUGAGAUCACCGGCUCCACCUACGAGCCCAUCGGUGACGUGUACUUCAAGGGAGCCAAGGUGAAGGGCGCUGACUAUGAGGGCCUGCAGGAGCUGGCCACCAUCUCCAUCAUGUGCAACGACUCCUCCAUUGACUUCAACGAGUUCAAGAACAUGUUUGAGAAGGUCGGCGAGGCCACCGAGACGGCCCUCAUCGUGCUGGGUGAGAAGAUCAACCCCUACAACAUGUCCAAGAUCGGCCUGGACCGCCGCUCCACCGCCAUCGUGGCCCGCCAGGACAUGGAGACCAAGUGGAAGAAGGAGUUCACUCUGGAGUUCUCCCGUGACCGCAAGUCCAUGUCAUCAUUCUGCACCCCAAUCAAGCCCACCCGCCUGGGCAGCGGCCCCAAGAUGUUCUGCAAGGGUGCCCCUGAGGGCGUGCUGGACCGCUGCACCCACGUGCGUGUCGGCACUCAGAAGGUGCCACUCACUGCCGGCGUGAAGGACAAGAUCCUGGCCGUCACCAGGGACUACGGCUGCGGCCGCGACACCCUGCGUUGCCUGGCCCUGGCCACCCUGGACAACCCCCCCAAGCCUGAGGACAUGGACCUGGGAGAGUCCAACAAGUUCUACACCUACGAGGUGAACAUGACCUUUGUGGGCGUGGUGGGCAUGCUGGACCCCCCCAGGACUGAGGUGAAGGACUCCAUCCAGCGGUGCCGUGACGCCGGUAUUCGUGUCAUUGUCAUCACUGGCGACAACAAGGCCACUGCUGAGGCUAUCUGCCGCCGCAUCGGUGUGUUCAGCGAGAAUGAGGAUACCUUCGGCUUGUCCUACGCCGGCAGGGAGUUUGAUGAGCUGUCCCCUGCAGAGCAGCAGGAGGCCUGCAUGCGUGCCCGACUCUUCUCCCGUGUGGAGCCCUUCCACAAGUCCAAGAUUGUGGAGUACCUGCAGAACAAGAACGAGAUCUCUGCCAUGACUGGUGAUGGUGUGAAUGAUGCGCCAGCCCUGAAGAAGGCUGAGAUCGGCAUUGCCAUGGGUUCCGGCACAGCCGUGGCCAAGUCUGCCUCUGAGAUGGUGCUGGCUGACGACAACUUCUCAUCCAUCGUGGCGGCAGUGGAGGAGGGCCGUGCCAUCUACAACAACAUGAAGCAGUUCAUCCGUUACCUCAUCUCCUCAAACAUUGGUGAGGUGGUCUCCAUCUUCCUGACGGCCGCCCUGGGCCUGCCCGAGGCGCUCAUCCCCGUGCAGCUGCUGUGGGUGAACCUGGUGACUGACGGUCUGCCCGCCACCGCCCUGGGCUUCAACCCCCCUGACCUGGACAUCAUGGAGAAGCCCCCCAGGAAGUCUGAUGAGUCCCUCAUCUCCGGCUGGCUGUUCUUCCGCUACAUGGCCAUCGGUGGCUAUGUGGGCGCCGCCACUGUGUUCGCUGCCUCCUGGUGGUUCAUGUAUGACCCCACCGGCCCACAGCUCAACUACUACCAGCUGUCCCACCACCUCUCCUGCCUGGGUGACACCGAGAACUUCGAGGGCCUGGACUGUGGCAUCUUCAGCCACCCGGCCCCCAUGACCAUGGCCCUGUCUGUCCUUGUCACCAUCGAGAUGCUCAACGCCCUCAACAGCUUGUCUGAGAACCAGUCCCUGAUGGUGAUGCCUCCCUGGGUCAACUUCUGGCUGCUGGCAGCUAUGGCCCUCUCCAUGACUCUUCACUUCAUCAUCCUCUAUGUUGACAUUCUCAGCACUGUGUUCCAGGUAAUGCCUCUGACGGGACACCAGUGGCUAGCGGUGUUGAAGAUUUCCCUGCCAGUGCUACUGCUGGACGAGAGCCUGAAGUUCCUGGCACGUAACUACACUGAUGGUGAGACAACCUCCCUCUUGCGUUGCCACUGGAUUGUCGUGGCUUGGGCGAUUUACUUCACCUACAUCAAGAUUGACCCUUUCUAACCUGCCUUUCGAUUUCUCGGUUCCCCGUUCCACCCUUCUCGUCCUGCCCUGUGCCGCGCCUCUUCCCUCUCGUCCCCAUCCCUCCCUGCCCCGCCCGUGUGUUGAGUUGAUAAGAAGCUGUUUGGUCUGGGUGGGUGUUUUUAAAGCGGUUUUGACAGAGAGAGAGAGAGAGAGAGAGAGAGUGUGUGUGUGUGUGUGUGUGUGUGUAGGGUCAGAAAACAACAGUGCUCAAUUUCUAAGUUGCCUGUUGCCUUUCUACUGCUGCCAUGCUGUUCAUUAUUGCUUUCUGGGUGUGUGUGUGUGUGUGUGUGUGCGUGUGUGUGUGUGUACAGUGCCUAUGGUGUGUGGCGUGGCAAGGCAUACAGAUGUGCUGUGAAUUGCAAACGCACAUGGUUUCUGUGAUGUGCGCAGGGAAACGCAUACAUGUGUGUAUGUGCAUAUGUGUGUAUGUAUGUGUGUGCGCCGGAAGACAAACAAUCGUCCGGUAGAUUCGAACUAAAACGCAGAUGGAAAACGGUGACACGACUCAAGAAACUCGAACAAAAAAGUCGUUCGAUUAGUGACACUCUGAAAAAGUCUUUGGCCAUGUUCAGAAACACUUUGUUCUCUCACCAAGACAAUUUUCCAAGGCCAUCGAGACAACUGCGCCAGGAUUUCAAGACAGUUUCUCCUUUUAAUCAACUAGAAAUCUUAAAAAUCCUUUAUUCCUGCACUAUGACAAGUUUGCAAGGCCAUCGAGACAACUAGAUGGGAUUUCAAGGCAGUUUUCUUCCCUUAAUACACCUGAAAUCUUGCAAACUAUCACCAGAACCUUAAAAAUACCCUCAAAACCACAACUAGCUGGUAUUUUAAGGCAAUUUCCUUCCCUUAAUACACCAGAACCUUAAAAAUACCCAAAAAACCACAACUAUCUGGGAUUUUAAGGCAGUUUCCUCACGUUAAUACAUCAUAACCUUAAAAAUACCUUCAAAACCACAACUAGCUGGGAUUUUAAGGCAGUUUCCUCCCCUUAACACAUCAGAAAUCUUGCCAAUCUGUCACCAGAACCUUAAAAAACACGAGUUUCUACAAAUGGAGCCUUGGAAAGAAGUGACUGAGAGAGCAAAAUGUCAAGUACAGGCCAGUGACUCAAAUUAUGACUGUGGUGACUAACUGCGUGCCUCUCCUGUGCUGUGGUGCUGUGGUGCUGUGCUGUGUUUAGAGGUGGGUGUUGUAUGCACCAUCCACCACUACCCAGCUUGCACCUGCCCUACUCUGUCCCCGUCCCCCAACCCCUGACCCCAGUAGCAGCUCCCCUCCCCCCCUCCCCCCCCUCCGGAGUACCUCAUUGAUCAAGGGAAAAUUUUUAAAAGUUACGCAUUUCAUAAUUUAGGUUCAUUAUUUUUUUUCACGUCAAGUUCAAAUUUUCCUUUUUUUUCCUGUAAAUUAUAGUAAAUUAUAAAGUUUUUCCUAAUUUUUUUUCGUGUUUUCCCAAUUGUUUACUGAAGAUAUAGUGAUGAUGUUGUUUUUCCAUUUUUUCCCCCACUAAUGAUGUUUCAGUGGUAUAUUUUCCCGUAAAUUUUGAUGUUUUUUCCUGUAAAUUUCAACGUUUCCAUAUUUUUCCUCAUUUUUACUCAAGAUGUUUUGAUGUUGGUGUUAUUUUCCCAUUUUUUCCCCAUUUAUCGUUAUUUUCCCGGUAUUUUCCCCAAUUUUUUUUCCUGUUAGUGGUAUUUCCUGUUAGUUUAUCCCCUGUUUCCCCAAGUAGGCUUUUUUCCCCUUUUUUCCCUCAGGUUAGAAUUGUUUCCCUGUUUAACUAUUUAAUUUAUUUAUUUCUCCUCGUCCUCCCUCUGUGGUUCAAAAUUUCUUUCCCUAUACAAAAAUAAUGUCCUCAAAUUCGUUUCCAUUUUCCCCUUUCUGAAAAUAUUUUAAGCAUUUUUUUCCCUUUAAUGUAAUAUAAAUUUUUCCUUAAACUCAAUUUUUUCUCUUAAAUAAAAAAAAAAAGAUAUUUCUCAGUGCAAUAUUUGAAGAAGGUAAUUAUCUCUCCCUAAUUCACCAAGCCAUUGUUAUUAUCACUGUUAUUACUCGAUAUUUUGUUGUAGAUACUGACUUUUGUAUAAACCCCCCCCCCCCCUGACACAUCCUGUCCGUAUGUCUGUGUGUCUGGCCCAUGCUGUACACUUGGGGCGUCAUAAGUCACCAAAGCGUUCACCACACCCGCUAACACGCCCUCUCUCUUAUGUCCGCCUCCUGAAACACUUACCCGCAGCAUCUUCACUAUUUUCAAAGGGGUCUAGUUGAAGUAAUGGGUUUUUAAGGGUGUUUCUGUAUAUCACGAGGACAAAUUCUCAUUUUAAAUGGGUCUAGUUGAAGUAAUGGGUUUUUAAGGGUGUUUCUGUAUAUCACGAGGACAAAUUCUCUUUUCAAAGGGAUCUAGUUGAAGUGAUGGGUUUUUAAGGGUGUUUUCUGUAUAUCACGAGGACAAAUUCUCAUUUUAAAGGGGUCUAGUUGAAGUGACGUUGGUUUUUAAGGGUGUUUCUGUAUAUCACGAGGACAAAUUCUCUUUUAAAGGGUCUAGUUGAAGUAAUGGGUUUUUAAGGGUGUUUCUGUAUAUCACGAGGACAAAUUCUCUUUUCAAAGGGGUCUAGUUGAAGUGAUGGGUUUUUAAGGGUGUUUCUGUAUAUCACGAGGACAAAUUCUCUUUUCUAAGGGGUCUAGUUGAAGUAAUGGGUUUUUAAGGGUGUUUCUGUAUAUCACCAGGACAAAUACUCUCUUUAAAGGGGUCUAGUUGAAGUGACGUGGGUUUUUAAGGGUGUUUUCUGUAUUUCUAGUGACAUGUUAACAAGUUUUCUACAUUAUCAGCAGGACAAACACACUUUUUAAAGGCUCUAGUUGAAGUGACGCGGGAUUUUAAAGAUGUUUCAGUAAUUCUAGUGACAUGUUAACAAGUCCGCAUUACCAACAGGACAAAUACUCUUUAGAACUUGGCUAAUCGUCUCUGUUGGCGGAUAAACAAUUUAAUCCCCUUCGCGUGUACAAAAUGACCAUAUUUGUGACUUAUGACCCCCCCCAGUGUACCCCUCCUCCCGUCUCGACACUCCCUAAGGAAACAAAUACUACUACAAUUAAACUACCAGUGCAUGUAGAGAGAGAGAGAGAGAGAGUGAGAGAGAGAAACACAAACGGAAACUCACUCUCUCUCUCUCUCUCUCUCUCAGUGUAGACGUUAUGUUGAGAGAGAUGCGCGGUGAAGGAAAAUUCUCUCUCUCUCUCUCUUUUUUUGUCCUGUAUGUUGGCGUUAGGAAGGGUUAUGCAUGUUUUUAAGAAGAAUUAGACAUUUUUUUUCUUCCUUGACCAAUAAAACCCCAGAAAAAAAGUGAAA